AUAUGAAAGUAGUCUGACUACCACAUCUGUCACAUCAUUAUUCUGUAGUGAAGGUUCUUUGGAUCUGGCUCAGUAGGAAAGUGUGGUCUUCAUUUCUCACUGCUUCAAAUGUGCCCCUAAUAUAAAUGCGUGCAUCAUCAAAGACAAUGACACUUCUCAAUAGAGAAGGACCAAUCUUUGGUCAAGAGCACAUUGUAGUUAUACUCUCCUGCUUGAACCUCCAAACAACUUCCAUCUAUGGUUUUGAUUAAAAGAAAACGAUUUCACACCCAAAUUUCAUUU
Non-coding RNA from Mus musculus (house mouse), 282 nucleotides. The record is from Rfam. Lineage: Eukaryota; Metazoa; Chordata; Mammalia; Rodentia; Muridae.